UUCCACGCAUGCCAUGAAUGAGUCAAAGUAACAAAGGAAAAACUCACAUUCAAAACAUGAGUUAAAUGAAUAAAGAACACAUCAUCUCCUCUCCUCUUAGUUCAGUUCCUCCCGCCGACGUGCCAGAGGCGCUCCUAAAUUCAAAUCAAGAACCACACUUAACUUAGUUCUUCGCGCUGAGUCCAAAUAUACUAAUGGAAACUCCUAAUUCAUCAUGAGUUGCUUGGAUCGAAAUGAAAUAAGGAAGAAUCCUAACUCUGAGAAGUUAAAUUAAAUGGCGCACAUUCACAGAUUCACGCUCAAACAUUAGGGCUAAUGAUGCCAAGAACAUUCUCUACACAACGGUAACAAAAUCAUGGCAAGCGGAAGAGAAGGAAGAUUUACCCCCGAAAUGGAGAAUUGUUCCGGCGAAGGUUAAAUCAGAGAAGACGAAGACGCAACUGAAAAUCACUUAAAAACAGGCCAUGGUCAAUUGAAUAAGUGCAAGGCAAUUUUAUGAGUUAGGGCAAUGUUAUCAUGGAGUUGUUGAUGGAAUGUUAUGCAUUGGAUGAGCUUUGGAUGCUAGAAGUAAAUGACUUAGUGUUGCUCUGACUUAGGAUUAUGGUGGAUAUUGAAUGAUGUAAUUUGUAAGAUGAAUGUUCAAUUAAAUUUGGUUGAAUGUAUGAAAUAUGAAUGUCAUUUAGUUCUAAUGGUUGAAUGUGAUUCGGGUGAAAUGGUAGUCAUUUUGAAUGUAA
This is a long non-coding RNA of Lathyrus oleraceus (garden pea), 734 nucleotides long. RefSeq lists it as uncharacterized. The transcript has 2 exons. The record is from RefSeq and is a predicted model, not a curated record. Lineage: Eukaryota; Viridiplantae; Streptophyta; Magnoliopsida; Fabales; Fabaceae.